AUAAAUCACAACUUGGGGAGAAGGGGCAGGAGUAUCGUGGCAAAUCUGAGGCCAGCUGGUUUACAUAGCAAGACCCUGUCUCAAACAAUUAAAUAAAUAAAAGGCUUGUGGGGUUGUGCCAGGUGAAGACGACCAACUGCAGAUGCAUGAGAAAGGGACAAAACGUAUCUGGCUUCCCACUUGAAACAACGGAGCUCAACAUCUGGAAUCUCUCGUUAUGCACGAGAUCUCAGACAUUUUCCUACGGAUGGGAAAUCAGAAAAGCUGGCUAUCCUAGCUGCUUGUCUACAGUUUCUAGGGCUUAAGGCAAAGAACGCAAACAGAUCCCAGCGUCUCCCUGAAGUUCAAGCUAAGAAAGCCAGAAUUUCUAAAGCCUAAAACCACAGAGACAAGAAAAGGGGAAACCGGCAGAAAGGCACACAAGAAGGAAUACCAGUCAACCAUGCCUAAGGUCAAGGAAAGUUCCCGGAAGGAUUAAAGUGUGCGCAUGCUCCCCACCAUUCAGACCCAUGACCUCAAGAAAGAAGAGAUUCUAAAUCACUGGGAAUGAAGAAUCAUCAAAGGCUUUUACCUCCAAAGUCAGUCUGAUUAAGCUAAAACUAAAUAAAUGUUUCCCUGCCCUGCCAAGCAAAACUGAAAACACAGUGUAAUUAAUAAUACCUGAGAGCUAAUUAAAACUUCCAGCUGACUGGUUUUAUGUCAACUUGGCACAAGGUAGAGUACAGUCAUCUAGGAAGAGGGGGAACCUCAGUUGAGAAAAUGCCCCCUGUCUUGGUGGUGGGCAGCUUUCUUGACUAAUGGGAGGGCCCAGCACACUGUGGGCGGAGCCGCCCUUGGGCAGGUCAGACUGCGGAAAGAAAACUGGCUGAGCAAGCCCUGGAGAGCAAGCCAGUAAGCAGUGUUCCUCCAGGGCUUCUGCUCCAGUUCCUGCCUCCGGGUUCCUCUCUGGCUUGCGUUCCUGGACUGAUUCCUUCAGUGACAGACUAUUGUCUGGAAGAAGAAGAGCCGAUAACACCCUUCCUCCCCAAGUUGCUUUUAGCUGUAAUGUUUUACCACUGCAACAGAAACCCUAACUAAGACACCAAGAAGCAAAGAGCAGAGAAACAGAAGCUACAGCGGCCAAACCUGUCCGUGAUACAGACAUCUGACACUGUGUACGUUUAUAGCCGCAUACAGGACAGUCUGCACACAUACUGCUAAACAAAGGCCACAAUUUGCUAAGAGGGAAGCUUAAGGAUGAAUUAGCUCCUUUAAAACUCUUUACAGCAAAAAGAAUGAAAUAAAAAAAAAGCACCAUACAACUGCC
Mastomys coucha (southern multimammate mouse) is the source of this 1306-nucleotide long non-coding RNA. RefSeq lists it as uncharacterized. The record is from RefSeq and is a predicted model, not a curated record. The transcript has 2 exons. NCBI's taxonomy places the organism in Eukaryota, Metazoa, Chordata, Mammalia, Rodentia, Muridae.